This 253-nucleotide ribosomal RNA is filed under the name uncultured bacterium. RNAcentral describes it as "partial 16S ribosomal RNA". It matches the Rfam family "Bacterial small subunit ribosomal RNA", at positions 524 to 776 of the family's 1533-position model. The record is from RNAcentral.
UACGUAGGGUGCGAGCGUUAAUCGGAAUUACUGGGCGUAAAGGGUGCGUAGGCGGAUAUGUAAGUUAGAUGUGAAAUACCCAAGCUUAACUUGGGAGGUGCAUUUAAGACUGCAUGACUAGAGUUUGUGAGAGGGUGGUAGAAUUCCAAGUGUAGCAGUGAAAUGCGUAGAGAUUUGGAGGAAUACCGAUGGCGAAGGCAGCCACCUGGCAUAAAACUGACGCUGAGGCACGAAAGCGUGGGUAGCAAACAGG